RNAcentral lists this ribosomal RNA (305 nucleotides) under uncultured bacterium. RNAcentral's name for it is "bacterial SSU rRNA". It matches the Rfam family "Bacterial small subunit ribosomal RNA", at positions 333 to 635 of the family's 1533-position model. The record is from RNAcentral.
GCGGACCUACGGGGCGCAGCAGUGAGGAAUAUUGGUCAAUGGUCGGGAGACUGAACCAGCCAAGCCGCGUGAGGGAGGAAGGUACAGAGUAUCGUAAACCUCUUUUGUCAGGGAACAAAGGCGGGGACGUGUCCCCGGAUGAGUGUACCUGAAGAAAAAGCAUCGGCUAACUCCGUGCCAGCAGCCGCGGUAAUACGGAGGAUGCGAGCGUUAUCCGGAUUUAUUGGGUUUAAAGGGUGCGCAGGCGGUCUGUUAAGUCAGCGGUCAAAGCCCGGGGCUCAACCCCGGGACUGCAUUGGAAACUA